AUCUUCCACAAUGGGCGAAAGCCUGAUGGAGCAAUGCCGCGUGAAUGAAGAAGGUCUUCGGAUCGUAAAGUUCUGUUAUUAGAGAAGAAAAAAUCAAGGACUAACUAUCUUGGUUUUGACGGUACCUAACCAGAAAGUCACGGCUAACUACGUGCCAGCAGCCGCGGUAAUACGUAGGUGACGAGCGUUUUCCGGAAUUAUUGGGCGUAAAGGGAGCGCAGGCGGUUGGAACAGUCUGAUGUGAAAGCCCACGGCUUAACCGUGGAAGGUCAUUGGAAACUGUCCAACUUGAAUACAGAAGAGGUAAGUGGAAUUCCAUGUGUAGCGGUGAAAUGCGUAGAUAUAUGGAGGAACACCAGUGGCGAAGGCGACUUACUGGUCUGUGAUUGACGCUGAGGCUCGAAAGCGUGGGUAGCAAACA
Molecule: ribosomal RNA, 421 nt
Filed under: uncultured bacterium
Lineage: Bacteria
Description: partial 16S ribosomal RNA
Rfam family: Bacterial small subunit ribosomal RNA
Source: RNAcentral